AACGCACCUUGCGCUCCAAGGGUCACCGAGGAGCAUGCCUGUUUGAGUGUCUUGAAUUUCUCAACCCUUUGAGCUUGUCACCGAGCUCUUUGGCGUUGGACUUGGAGGUCUUGUUGGCGUUUGACGUCGACUCCUCUGGAAUGCAUUAGUGGGGGCUUUGCGCCUGACCCAGUAGCGGUGUAAUAGUUAUUACCACUGCGAACGCGUCAGGUCAUUCUCUGCUUCUAACCGUCUGCAAGGACAACAUUUCACUCUUUGACCUCAAAUCAGGUAGGACUACCCGCUGAACUUAA
This 293-nucleotide unclassified non-coding RNA is filed under the name uncultured fungus. RNAcentral describes it as "sequence contains ITS2". Lineage: Eukaryota; Fungi. The record is from RNAcentral.